This 350-nucleotide ribosomal RNA is filed under the name uncultured Hypocreales. RNAcentral describes it as "eukaryotic LSU rRNA". The stretch from base 1 to 82 matches the Rfam family "5.8S ribosomal RNA", at positions 73 to 154 of the family's 154-position model. Lineage: Eukaryota; Fungi; Ascomycota; Sordariomycetes; Hypocreales. The record is from RNAcentral.
CGUAGACUAGGUGAAUCAUCGAAUCUUUGAACGCACCUUGCACUUUAAGAGUCGAUCUUAAAGUAUACCUGUUUGAGUAUCAUAAACAUUUAUCCAAUUUAUUGGGAUUUGAUAGAUCAAUUAGUACGCUGAUUGGCUGUUUAAAUGUAGUAGGGAAUCAGGGAUAAGCGCGAUUAUUUCUUGAAUGAGGAUAUUUACUCUUGUAGUAAAGUAAUCAGGAAAGAAUAAGAAGCGGAUCAAUGAGACUACUUAAACUUUCACUCUUAGUAAAAAAGAGAGAAAAUUAGUACAACGUGAUCUCAAAUCAGGCAAGACUACCCGCCGAACUUAAGCAUAUCAAUAAGCGGAGG